UUUCAUCAAACAGGAGAACACCUGCGUCAAGACGUGUGGUGGAACUCGGAGUUUCAGAUCUGUCCGGUCCCAGUCUGGAGCUGCUGCCUUCA
Xiphophorus couchianus (Monterrey platyfish) is the source of this 92-nucleotide long non-coding RNA. RefSeq lists it as uncharacterized. The transcript has 2 exons. The record is from RefSeq and is a predicted model, not a curated record. Lineage: Eukaryota; Metazoa; Chordata; Actinopteri; Cyprinodontiformes; Poeciliidae.